CGAAGUUGGAAUUGCUAGUAAUCGUGGAUCAGCAUGCCACGGUGAAUACGUUCCCGGGUCUUGUACACACCGCCCGUCACACCAUGGGAGUCGGUAACACCCGAAGUCAGUAGUCUAACCGCAAGGAGGACGCUGCCGAAGGUGGGAUUGACGACUGGGGUGAAGUCGUAACAAGGUAGC
This 180-nucleotide ribosomal RNA is filed under the name uncultured bacterium. Its description in RNAcentral is "partial 16S ribosomal RNA". It matches the Rfam family "Bacterial small subunit ribosomal RNA", at positions 1321 to 1500 of the family's 1533-position model. The record is from RNAcentral.